CGGGUGAGUAACGCGUGAGUAACCUGCCUUACACAAGGGGAUAGCCUUUGGAAACGAAGAAUAAUACCCUAUAAAACCAUAAAAGCACAUGCUAGAAUGGUAAAAGUGAUAGCGGUGUAAGAUGGACUUGCGUCUGAUUAGCUAGUUGGUGAGAUAAAAGCUCACCAAGGCAACUAUCAGUAGCCGGCUUGAGAGAGUGUACGGCCACAUUGGGACUGAGACACGGCCCAG
RNAcentral lists this ribosomal RNA (231 nucleotides) under uncultured Eubacteriales bacterium. RNAcentral's name for it is "uncultured Clostridiales bacterium partial 16S ribosomal RNA". It matches the Rfam family "Bacterial small subunit ribosomal RNA", at positions 103 to 334 of the family's 1533-position model. Lineage: Bacteria; Bacillati; Bacillota; Clostridia; Eubacteriales. The record is from RNAcentral.